Non-coding RNA from Pelobates cultripes (western spadefoot toad), 394 nucleotides. The record is from the annotation of a GenBank genome assembly. Lineage: Eukaryota; Metazoa; Chordata; Amphibia; Anura; Pelobatidae.
GGGACUGUUAUCAAACUCGCUACCAGGAAGAAGAAAAUGAAACAGCAGUUGGAGACCCUACUGAAUAAGCUCCUGACCCUCGAACAGAAACAUCAGAUAACGCCUGAAGAUGAGACCUAUGGACAACUGGAUUCGGUAAGAAGAGAUAUCCGCACGCUCUUGCUAGGCGAUACAGCCAGAUCCAUGGUGUGGUCACAAAGGACUUAGUAUGAAAAGGCCAACAAAAUGGACACGCUUUUAGCCAGGACACCUAGACCCAGACAGGAACGUUCCCAUAUAACGGCUGUCAGACACCCAGACGGUUCUAUUAAGACGACACCAAAGGAUAUAGCUGCGGUUUUCGAGGACUUUUAUAAACUCUUAUAAAACCAUACUCCAGAUACUGGCCCUCGAG